RNAcentral lists this ribosomal RNA (491 nucleotides) under uncultured bacterium. RNAcentral describes it as "partial 16S ribosomal RNA". It matches the Rfam family "Bacterial small subunit ribosomal RNA", at positions 28 to 507 of the family's 1533-position model. The record is from RNAcentral.
GAUGAACGCUGGCUACAGGCUUAACACAUGCAAGUCGAGGGGAAACGACAUUGAAGCUUGCUUCGAUGGUCGUCGACCGGCGCACGGGUGAGUAACGCGUAUCCAACCUGCCUCUGACCAGGGGAUAACCCGUCGAAAGUCGGCCUAAUACCUUAUGCAGUCGUCGGAAGUCAUCUGAUGACGACGAAAGAUUUCUUCGGUGAGAGAUGGGGAUGCGUCUGAUUAGCUUGUUGGCGGGGUAACGGCCCACCAAGGCAACGAUCAGUAGGGGUUCUGAGAGGAAGGCCCCCCGCAUUGGAACUGAGACACGGUCCAAACGCCUACGGGAGGCAGCAGUGAGGAAUAUUGGUCGAUGGACGAGAGCCUGAACCAGCCAAGUAGCGUGCAGGAGGACGGCCAUAUGGGUUGUAAACUGCUUGUAUGCGAGGAUAAUGUGAGUGACUUGUCCUUCAUUGCAGGUACCGAAUGAAUAAGGACCGGCUAAUUCCGUG